GGGGGCGAAAGGAUUCGACCGGAUUGUACGAUAUAUAGGUUGCGUAUUGAGGUUGUCAGGCGGCCUCAUUAAAAACCUGGCAAAACAAUUAAAUGCCGAAGAACCAAUGGCAAUGGCUGCUUAAUUGACAGCCACGUUUCAUCCGUUUUACCUGCGAAAUUGAUGAAACGAAGAAUAGCAGGUUAGUUUAGACCUUUUGCACCGCGGGGUCUUAAAUGAAUUAGUAGUUGUGCUAGCUUUUAAAAACCUUGUCUGUUAGGGUUUUAACGGCGAAAUUAAAAAACAGACUAUAUACGUAGAAGCCUAUAUUGAAACAUCUAGGGACGCGGGUUCAAUUCCCGCCGCCUCCACCA
Molecule: non-coding RNA, 353 nt
Organism: Planctomycetes bacterium RBG_16_41_13
Lineage: Bacteria; Pseudomonadati; Planctomycetota
Source: Rfam